GGCGAGGGGAAGGAGGCAACCCCAAAGCCCUCCCUCCUCCUCUUCCCCCACCCUGCAAGCCCCAGGCUUGAAACUUGAUUUAAAAAAAAAAAUACAAGAUUGAAUUUCAGUUUGCAGGAUUAGGGAGAUGACUUUUAGGGGCUGCUUGUUGGAAAAAAAGGAAAGCAAAGCAGCUGGGAGGGAUUAGGCUGAGCUGGCGUCUGCACUUUCAACUGAUUCAAUUUUGCUCCACAAGACAUUGUAUCUGAGCCUUUCUGGAGACUAUUCAAAGCAAAUCAUUUUCAUUUUACCAUUUGGUGGUGCUGUGGGGAUCCCAAGGGAUGGGGAGUGAUGAAGAUGCUUGUGGUGACCUGACCCUGCCACCCAGAGCACUUCGGCCGUGCUGCAAGAGAUGCAGCCCCAUUCUGAAGGGAAAAGUUCUGCUGUUAUUCCCAUUCCCAAGAUGAUGAGCCCCCAAAGAAAUAAUGCUCCUUGUUAAUGCUCCUUGGACUGUAAUGAGUCUGGGAUGUCGGGAUGCUCUCAGGAAUGACAGACAGGCAGGUGUCCACAUCUCCAUUCAGGUCCCAGGGCAGGUGUGGGGACACGCUGAGGCGCCACAGCGUCCCCAGAGAGGAGGGUGGCCAUCCCAGCUGCAAUUCCUCUGCCUGGGGCUCAGGUCUGUCACCAGCUGUCCUGGCCCUGCUGCAUUUCCCAGCAAUGCUGGAGACUUAGACCACAAUAGAAGGAAAUCACUAAAGCUGAAUUGCUCCAACCUGGGGGCUGAGGACCUGACUCCAGAAAGUCUCCAUCCAGAUCACCAACCUGCACCCACAGGCAGCAACCCCACGGUGAGGCAGGACCUGGCAUGGGCUCAGCCUGCCUGGGGAUAG
Molecule: long non-coding RNA, 869 nt
Filed under: Chloebia gouldiae (Gouldian finch)
Lineage: Eukaryota; Metazoa; Chordata; Aves; Passeriformes; Passeridae
Description: Erythrura gouldiae (Gouldian finch) lncRNA (ENSEGOG00005012389.1)
Source: RNAcentral